This 474-nucleotide long non-coding RNA is filed under the name Pan troglodytes (chimpanzee). RNAcentral describes it as "long non-coding RNA NONPTRT003743". Lineage: Eukaryota; Metazoa; Chordata; Mammalia; Primates; Hominidae. The record is from RNAcentral.
GUUGGUUGUGAUGGGACCCUGAGCUCAGGUGGGGUGUUGGUUGGGUUGGUUGUGAUGGGACCCUGAGCUCAGGUGGGGUGUUGGUUGGGUUGUUUGUGAUGGGACUCUGAGCUCAGAUGGGGUGUUGGUUAGGUUGGUUGUGAUGGGACCCUGAGCUCAGGUGGGGUGUUGGUUGGGUUGGUUGUGAUGGGACCCUGAACUCAGGUGGGGUGUUGGUUGGGUUGGUUGUGAUGGGACUCUGAGCUCAGGUGGGGUGUUGGUUGGGUUGGUUGUGAUGGGACCCUGAGCUCAGGUGGGGUGUUGGUUGUGUUGGUUGUGAUGGGACCCUGAGCUCAGGUGGGGUGUUGGUUGGGUUGGUUGUGAUGGGACCCUGAGCUCAGGUGGGGUGUUGAUUGUGUUGGUUGUGAUGGGACCCUGAGCUCAGGUGGGGUGUUGGUUGGGUUGGUUGUGAUGGGACCCUGAGCUCAGGUGGGG